GGAGAUCCAUUACUAAGCCCAUGAAUUUUUAAAGCCAAAUAUUUCACUAAUUCUAGCUUUUGGGAGGCAAAGUUAGGGUCUCAUCCAUCCUACGUUUGGUGAAGCAUAUGGGCUGCUCGAGAUUUUAUUGGAGAAGGGUUCUGGAUGGAGGGUUGGUAUUGGUUCUUCUAUUUCAAUUUGGAAUGAUUAUUGGCUCCUUUUUCAGCAGGUUGUUGUAUACAAGAAUCGAUUGUUAAUGACUCAAUUAGAAUUGUUUCAGGUCUCAUAAAUAUGGAGACAAGGACAUGGUAAGAGGAGAUUAUUACCAAUGUCUUUUAUCCGAAGGAAGCUGAUGCGAUUCUCUGCAUUCCUGUAUCACAACACAUAGGUGAGGAUAAGAUUGUUUGGCUGGGGCAUACUGGCGACUAUUCUGUCCGAAGUGGUUACCGUCUUCUUUUACAAUCUCAGCAACUAGAGACUUUUCCUAAUGAUUACAGGAAAUUUUACAAAAAACUUUGGCAAAUACAAGUGCCAUCCAAGAUCAAAAUUACAGUCUGGCGAAUUCUACACAAUUACAUCCCUACUAGAGCUAAUCUUUUUACAAGAAGAGUGAUUGCGUCUCCCAGUUGCCUCAGAUGUAAUAGAGAGGUUGAAACUAAUGCAGAUGCAAUGAUGGGUUGUGAAUCUACAAAAAUCAUAUGGAAAGUUUGGGUUUUAAUGGCCUAAAUAUUGCUGAUGUAGAGGAAUUAUGGGAAUGGUUCGCACAGAGACUAAAAAAUGAUCAACCAAUUACCUGUAGGUCUAUUCUGAUCACUGCUUGGGCAAUUUGGUUUGGGCGUAACAAACAAGUGAUGGAAGGAAAAGUUCUCUCUAUCCACGAUAUCAACAUCAAAAUUAGGAGUUUGGCAAAGGAUUAGAUCAAAAAAAUAACCCUUUACCUGGUUCUCAGCAAGAUCCUCGAGCGAACUGGAAUCCCUUAAACGAGAAUUUUAUUAAACUGAAUUUUGAUGUUGCAUACAAAGGAAAUUCAAGAACCUCUUGUUCAGGAUUUGUAAUCGGGAAUUCAAAUGGUCAAAUCAUGGGUAGUGGUUUUAAACAAAACAGGAACAUAUCUUAUGCCUUCUCGGCUGAGGCUCUCUCAUGUUUGCAGGGUCCAACUUUCGCAAAUGAUAUGGGGUUUAGUCGUCUGAUCGUGGAGAGUGAUGCUUGUACCAUUAUCUCCAGAAUAGAACGAGAUAGAGAAGAUAGAUCGAAGAUCGGGCCCUACAUCAAAGACAUAAAAGUUCUAUCUCAAGCUUUUAGAUCUAUCAAGUUCUGCUUUACUCCUAGAACUGCGAACAAAGCUUCCCACAUUAUGGCUCAAGAGGGAUUCAAAGGAGAAGAGGACACCUACUGGGUUGAGGAAGCUCCUGACGCUGUUAUGGCAGCAGUGGAGGAAGAUAGACGAUGGAUUGACCCCCUUGAUAAUCUGUCAUUUGAUGUUGCUGAUCUAUGGCUAAUGUUGUGUUCUAUGGAAAGCCACAUUAUUCUAGUCGUUUGCUGCUAAGAUUGGAGGAGAUUUUAGUGGAAUAUUAAGAGCCGAAGUUGUGUUGAAGAAAGGAAACAAUAUAUUGAUUGUAGCGUUGGACUACUUUAUUUUCUUUUAAUAAAAGCUUCGGUCUUAUCCUUCAGAAAAAGAAAAAAAAGAAAAAGUAAUCAUCAUCUAGUGAUGCAUUAUCCAUGCGGGUAGAAUUUUAUUAACGGUUUUAACACUAAAUAUCAUAGUAAAAUAUAUAUAGAUAGUUCAAAU
Molecule: long non-coding RNA, 1768 nt
Filed under: Gossypium barbadense (sea-island cotton)
Lineage: Eukaryota; Viridiplantae; Streptophyta; Magnoliopsida; Malvales; Malvaceae
Description: long non-coding RNA (GBAR_LNC020839)
Source: RNAcentral